RNAcentral lists this ribosomal RNA (388 nucleotides) under uncultured bacterium. RNAcentral describes it as "bacterial SSU rRNA". It matches the Rfam family "Bacterial small subunit ribosomal RNA", at positions 27 to 417 of the family's 1533-position model. The record is from RNAcentral.
GGACGAACGCUGGCGGCGUGCUUAACACAUGCAAGUCGAGCGGUAAGGCCCUUUCGGGGGUACACGAGCGGCGAACGGGUGAGUAACACGUGGGUGACCUGCCCUCAGCUCUGGGAUAAGCCUGGGAAACCGGGUCUAAUACCGGAUAUGACUCCAUGACGCAUGUUGUGGGGUGGAAAGCCUUGUGCGGCUGAGGAUGGGCCCGCGGCCUAUCAGCUUGUUGGUGGGGUGAGGCCUACCAAGGCGACGACGGGUAGCCGGCCUGAGAGGGCGACCGGCCACACUGGGACUGAGACACGGCCCAGACUCCUACGGGAGGCAGCAGUGGGGAAUCUUGCGCAAUGGGCGAAAGCCUGACGCAGCGACGCCGCGUGAGGGAUGACGGCCU